This 459-nucleotide ribosomal RNA is filed under the name uncultured bacterium. RNAcentral describes it as "bacterial SSU rRNA". It matches the Rfam family "Bacterial small subunit ribosomal RNA", at positions 30 to 486 of the family's 1533-position model. The record is from RNAcentral.
AUUGAACGCUGGCGGCAUGCCUUACACAUGCAAGUCGAACGGCAGCGCGGGGCAACCUGGCGGCGAGUGGCGAACGGGUGAGUAAUAUAUCGGAACAUACCCUAGAGUGGGGGAUAACGUAGCGAAAGUUACGCUAAUACCGCAUACGCACUAAGGUGGAAAGUGGGGGAUUCGCAAGAACCUCAUGCUCAUGGAGUGGCCGAUAUCUGAUUAGCUAGUUGGUGAGGUAAAGGCUCACCAAGGCGACGAUCAGUAGCUGGUUUGAGAGAACGACCAGCCACACUGGAACUGAGACACGGUCCAGACUCCUACGGAGGCAGCAGUGGGGAAUUUUGGACAAUGGGGGCAACCCUGAUCCAGCAAUGCCGCGUGAGUGAAGAAGGCCUUCGGUGUAAGCUCUUUGUCUAGGGAAGAAACGGUGAUUUCUAAUACAGAUUGCUAAUGACGGUACCUGAAGAA